UACCAGCACCCCGAGUGGUCGGGACGAUUAUUGGGCCUAAAGCAUCCGUAGCCGGUUCUACAAGUCUUCCUUUAAAUCCACCUGCUUAACAGAUGGGCUGCGGAGGAUACUAUGGAGCUAGGAGGCGGGAGAGGCAAGCGGUACUUAGUGGGUAGGGGUAAAAUCCGUUGAUCCAUUGAAGACCACCAGUGGCGAAGGCGGCUUGCCAGAACGCACUCGACGGUGAGGGAUGAAAGCUGGGGGAGCAAACCGG
RNAcentral lists this ribosomal RNA (253 nucleotides) under uncultured bacterium. RNAcentral describes it as "partial 16S ribosomal RNA". It matches the Rfam family "Archaeal small subunit ribosomal RNA", at positions 474 to 727 of the family's 1478-position model. The record is from RNAcentral.